UACGGGGGGGGCAAGCGUUGUUCGGAAUUACUGGGCGUAAAGGGCUCGUAGGUGGCCAACUAAGUCAGACGUGAAAUCCCUCAGCUUAACUGGGGAACUGCGUCUGAUACUGGAUGGCUUGAGUUUGGGAGAGGGAUGCGGAAUUCCAGGUGUAGCGGUGAAAUGCGUAGAUAUCUGGAGGAACACCGAUGGCGAAGGCAGCCCCCUGGGCCGACACUGACGCUCAGGCACGAAAGCGUGGGGAGCAAACAGG
RNAcentral lists this ribosomal RNA (253 nucleotides) under uncultured bacterium. RNAcentral's name for it is "partial 16S ribosomal RNA". It matches the Rfam family "Bacterial small subunit ribosomal RNA", at positions 524 to 776 of the family's 1533-position model. The record is from RNAcentral.